UGGGACUAAGACAUGCGAGUUGUGCGUCUCAAAGCCAUGGUAGAGACGCGGCGUACGGCUCAGUAACAUGUGGCUAACCUACCCUUAGGACGGAGACACCCCGGGAAACUGGGGCUAAUACCCGGUAGAUUAGGAGGCCUGGAAUGGUUUCUAGUCGAAAAGGCGUUGAAACCAUGCUUUUCGACGUCGCCUAAGGAUGGGGCCGCACCUGAUCAGGUUGUUGGUGGGGUAACGGCUCACCAAGCCUAUAACCGGUACGGGCCGUGAGAGCGGGAGCCCGGAGAUGGGCACUGAGACAAGGGCCCAGGCCCUACGGGGCGCAGCAGUCGCGAAAACUCCGCAAUGCGCGAAAGCGUGACGGGGCUACCCCGACUGCCGUCCGCUGAGGAUGGCUUUUCCCCGGUGUAAUGAGCCGAGGGAAUAAGGAGAGGGCAAGACUGGUGUCAGCCGCCGCUGUAAUACCAGCUCUCCGAGUGGUAGGGAUGAUUAUUGGGCU
This 496-nucleotide ribosomal RNA is filed under the name uncultured archaeon. RNAcentral describes it as "bacterial SSU rRNA". It matches the Rfam family "Archaeal small subunit ribosomal RNA", at positions 39 to 510 of the family's 1478-position model. The record is from RNAcentral.